RNAcentral lists this ribosomal RNA (830 nucleotides) under uncultured archaeon. RNAcentral describes it as "bacterial SSU rRNA". It matches the Rfam family "Archaeal small subunit ribosomal RNA", at positions 41 to 878 of the family's 1478-position model. The record is from RNAcentral.
UGAUUAAGCCAUGCGAGUCGAGAGGGUUCGGCCCUCGGCGUACUGCUCAGNUAACACGUGGAUAACCUGCCCUAAGGAAGGGGAUACCCUCGGGAAACUGAGGAUAAUACCCUAUAGGUUACCGAUGCUGGAAUGCUCGGUAACUCAAAGUUCCGGCGCCUUAGGAUGGAUCAGCGGCCGAUUAGGUAGUUGUUGGGGUAACGGCCCAACAAGCCCGUAAUCGGUACGGGUUGUGGGAGCAAGAGCCCGGAGUUGGAUUCUGAGACACGAAUCCAGGCCCUACGGGGCGCAGCAGGCGUGAAAACUUUACAAUGCGGGCAACCGUGAUAAGGGAACCUCGAGUGCCUGUACAUGCAGGCUGUCUGGGUGUCUAAAACACACCCAAAGAAAGGGCCGGGCAAGACCGGUGCCAGCCGCCGCGGUAAUACCGGCGGCUCGAGUGGUGGCCACUUUUAUUGGGCUUAAAGCGUUCGUAGCUGGGUUGUUAAGUCUCUUGGGAAAUCCGGCGGCUUAACCGUCGGGCGUCUAAGAGAUACUGGCAAUCUUGGAACCGGGAGAGGUGAGGGGUACUUCGGGGGUAGGAGUGAAAUCCUGUAAUCCUCGAGGGACCACCUGUGGCGAAGGCGCCUCACCAGAACGGCUUCGACAGUGAGGGACGAAAGCUGGGGGAGCAAACCGGAUUAGAUACCCGGGUAGUCCCAGCCGUAAACGAUGUGCGUUAGGUGUAUCGACGACCACGAGUCGUCGAGGUGCCGAAGGGAAACCGUGAAACGUACCGCCUGGGAAGUACGGUCGCAAGGCUGAAACUUAAAGGAAUUGGCGGGGGAGCA